AUCGCCGCUAGAUCUGCGUCUCUUCGUCUUCAACACUCUCUCACUCGAUGCCGUUCGCCGGGCGCCGCCCCCUCGACUCAUCUGCGUCUCUUCCUCUCUCCAUACUAUUUUUGCAAAUGUGGUGUGGGCUCCCGCGAGCUGCUACUGAUGCCCGGCGCCUCCUCUUUCAUAUGUGCAUUUAUCCCACAUCUCUCUCCCUCCUCCUGAUGCCCUCGGAGCGUCUUUGUUUGUGGCAUUUCGAGCAUACUAUUGCUUUCACAUAUUUACUAUUUUAUUUUUU
Non-coding RNA from Caenorhabditis elegans, 280 nucleotides. Lineage: Eukaryota; Metazoa; Nematoda; Chromadorea; Rhabditida; Rhabditidae. The record is from Ensembl.